UACGAAGGGGGCUAGCGGUGUUCGGAAUUACUGGGCGUAAAGCGCGUGUAGGCGGGCCGUUAAGUCGGGGGUGAAAGCCCAGAGCUCAACUCUGGAAUUGCCCUCGAUACUGGCGGCCUGGAGCAUGAUAGAGGCGAGUGGAAUUGCGAGUGUAGAGGUGAAAUUCGUAGAUAUUCGCAGGAACACCAGUGGCGAAGGCGACUCGCUGGAUCAUUGCUGACGCUGAGACGCGAAAGCGUGGGGAGCAUACAGG
RNAcentral lists this ribosomal RNA (253 nucleotides) under uncultured bacterium. RNAcentral's name for it is "partial 16S ribosomal RNA". It matches the Rfam family "Bacterial small subunit ribosomal RNA", at positions 524 to 776 of the family's 1533-position model. The record is from RNAcentral.